RNAcentral lists this ribosomal RNA (273 nucleotides) under uncultured Bacteroidota bacterium. RNAcentral's name for it is "uncultured Bacteroidetes bacterium partial 16S ribosomal RNA". It matches the Rfam family "Bacterial small subunit ribosomal RNA", at positions 70 to 339 of the family's 1533-position model. The record is from RNAcentral. Lineage: Bacteria; Pseudomonadati; Bacteroidota.
CAUCAUCAAAGCUUGCUUUGAUGGAUGGCGACCGGCGCACGGGUGAGUAACGCGUAUGCAACCUGCCCGAUACCGGGGUAUAGCCCAUGGAAACGUGGAUUAACACCCCAUAGUACUUUUAUCCUGCAUGGGAUGUGAGUUAAAUGUUCAAGGUAUCGGAUGGGCAUGCGUCCUAUUAGUUAGUUGGCGGGGUAACAGCCCACCAAGACGAUGAUAGGUAGGGGUUCUGAGAGGAAGGUCCCCACAUUGGAACUGAGACACGGUCCAAACUCC